CCUACGGGAGGCUGCAGUGGGGAAUAUUGGACAAUGGGCGAAAGCCUGAUCCAGCCAUGCCGCGUGUGUGAAGAAGGCCUUCGGGUUGUAAAGCACUUUCAGUGGGGAAGAAAGCCUUGGGGCUAAUACCCUCGAGGAAGGACAUCACCCACAGAAGAAGCACCGGCUAACUCCGUGCCAGCAGCCGCGGUAAUACGGAGGGUGCGAGCGUUAAUCGGAAUUACUGGGCGUAAAGCGCGCGUAGGCAGUCUGAUAAGCCGGUUGUGAAAGCCCCGGGCUCAACCUGGGAACGGCAUCCGGAACUGUCAGGCUAGAGUGCAGGAGAGGAAGGUAGAAUUCCCGGUGUAGCGGUGACAUGCGUAGAGAUCGGGAGGAAUACCAGUGGCGAAGGCGGCCUUCUGGACUGACACUGACGCUGAGGUGCGAAAGCGUGGGUAGCAAACAGGAUUAGAUACCCCGGUAGUC
This 465-nucleotide ribosomal RNA is filed under the name Vreelandella stevensii. Its description in RNAcentral is "partial 16S ribosomal RNA". It matches the Rfam family "Bacterial small subunit ribosomal RNA", at positions 338 to 795 of the family's 1533-position model. The record is from RNAcentral. Lineage: Bacteria; Pseudomonadati; Pseudomonadota; Gammaproteobacteria; Oceanospirillales; Halomonadaceae.